UCACCCGCUCGAAAGUCCGAGCUCGGAGCUUGGACUUUCGGGCGGGUGAAAUUUCACCCGCUCGAGUUCAUGUUUCGAGCGCUGUAUCACCCUUCUCCGCAGCUCCUGCUCCCUCCUGCCUUCUCACCGUCUUACCACAGCACCACAUUAGAACGAGCUCGCCUCUCCGUUGCGUCGUCGUCUCUCCGCUGCACCGUCGCCUCUCUCCUCAGCUGAAUUCCACCGCCAGUUGCUCCUUACUCCUCCUCUCUCGCUCUCUGUCUUUUUUUACCAUGGAGCACGAUGAUCAGGGGGUUUGUUUCCAGUGGACAACCCGUGAUGACACUCUCUCUUUAUUCCAGAAUGCUUUGUGAUGGCAUGUUGCCUGCCCGUUUCUCUUCAAGGCUUGUGGAUCUCUAGCUAGGAAUGGUCUGGUGCUAGGGAAAUCACUCCAUUGUCAUGUUUUGGAACUUGGGUAUGCAUUGGAUCUGUAUGUUCUGACUGGGACCAUGCACAAGUAUGGGCAGUUAGGUUUUCUAGGGGAAGCAACGAAAUUGUUCGAUAAUAUGCCGUAGAGAGAUGUGGCUUUUUGGACUAGCCUGAUCACCUGCUACGCUGCUAAUGAUUGUUGGGAAGAGGGGUUAUUGGCGUUCAACUUUUUGAGGGAUGAUUGUAUGAAGUCAAAUUCAGCGACAUUGGUUUGCGUCAUGGGCUGUUGUGCUCAGCUGGGUGCGUUGGACCAGGCACGAUGUUUGCACUCGGUUUUGGAGAAAUUGAGCAUCAAAUUUGAUGUCUUUGUUGGCAAUUCUCUUGUUGAUUUGUAUGCGAAAUGUGGGAGGAUAGACUAUGCUCGUCAAGCCUUUGAUGAAAUGCCCAAGCGAGACUCAUUCUGAGCCGGAUGCAGUCACUUUUUUGGCAAUCCUUGGCAUCUGUCAAGUUGAUUGAAGCAAUGAGAUCUACAGCAAGUUUCCUGCAAUCCUUGGCAUCUGUCAAGUUGAUUGAAGCAAUGAGAUCUACAGCAAGUUUCCUUGAUGCAGUUGACGAACAAGCUCCAUCGCUACAUAUAUGUGAAAUUUUGUAGUUCAGUGAUGCCGGUGGAAGUGGUUUCUAGGUGAAAGGCUAUAUAGAUUGCUAAAAUCUGAUUCACAAUGUAAAAAUUGCUUCUCUUCUGAAGCUGUUCUUAUAUCUGUAAUGAUGUAAUGAGCCUUCAAGGUUGUGAACUCAUUUAGCUUGUUAGAUUCUGCAAAACUAAUCAGCUGGUUUAGUUUAA
This is a long non-coding RNA of Nymphaea colorata (pocket water lily), 1249 nucleotides long. RefSeq lists it as uncharacterized. The record is from RefSeq and is a predicted model, not a curated record. NCBI's taxonomy places the organism in Eukaryota, Viridiplantae, Streptophyta, Magnoliopsida, Nymphaeales, Nymphaeaceae. The transcript is spliced from 2 exons.